Molecule: unclassified non-coding RNA, 188 nt
Filed under: soil metagenome
Description: partial internal transcribed spacer 1
Source: RNAcentral
CAAUAAGAGUGUUUAUGGCACUCUUCAAAAAAUCCAUGCCCACCUUGUGUGCAACGUAAGAAGAAAAAAAGAAGAUGCGAGUCAUGGGGAAACCCAAGUCUUGCUCCCUUUCUUUUUUCUUUUCCACAUACACCUUUCUAUUAGUUCCUAUUGUCUGAAGCUGUUAGAGAAUGACUAAUUCUUAAACA